This 24-nucleotide non-coding RNA is filed under the name Arabidopsis thaliana (thale cress). Lineage: Eukaryota; Viridiplantae; Streptophyta; Magnoliopsida; Brassicales; Brassicaceae. The record is from RNAcentral.
UGCGAGUGGUUUGCGAGGGUUGAU